Molecule: transfer RNA, 99 nt
Filed under: Puccinia sorghi
Lineage: Eukaryota; Fungi; Basidiomycota; Pucciniomycetes; Pucciniales; Pucciniaceae
Rfam family: tRNA
About the family: Transfer RNA (tRNA) molecules are approximately 80 nucleotides in length. Their secondary structure includes four short double-helical elements and three loops (D, anti-codon, and T loops). Further hydrogen bonds mediate the characteristic L-shaped molecular structure. tRNAs have two regions of fundamental functional importance: the anti-codon, which is responsible for specific mRNA codon recognition, and the 3' end, to which the tRNAs corresponding amino acid is attached (by aminoacyl-tRNA synthetases). tRNAs cope with the degeneracy of the genetic code in two manners: having more than one tRNA (with a specific anti-codon) for a particular amino acid; and 'wobble' base-pairing, i.e. permitting non-standard base-pairing at the 3rd anti-codon position.
Source: Rfam by way of RNAcentral
GGGGUUGUAGUGUAGUGGCUAUCACGCGUCAUUUGCAAUGGCACCGUCAAGGUACCAGAGAACUUGACGAGGUCCCGGGUUCAAUCCCCGGCGACUCCA